GGAUAAACAGACCACAGGGAGGCAGUGAGGCCAUGGACUUGAAUGCUGGCAGUGGCCUGAGAGGGAGGCCAGCUGUGGGGAGGGGAGAUGGGAGGUGAUAACCUUGGCAGCAGGGGUCUGAGGGCAGCAGGGGCCCAGGGGCAGCCUCUGGAUGUCAGCAGGAUCCAGGAAAGAUGCUUCCCAGGGGACAAGGGAGACUGAACCUGGACAGUCUUUGGUCUCUUUCCCCAGGCCUUUAUUUGACUUGACUCUGCCUUCUCAUUCAUAUGCAGAAGGGAAAGGCCUGGUCAGGUGGGCUACCCACUUCCUCCACCCAACCCUCUCUUCCUGCAGGCUCUCCCGACCCCGUGACUACGGCCCGAAUGCUUCUUUUCUUCAUACCCGGUCACCCUGAGAUUGGCAGAAGUGUCUAUGCCAUUCUUCCAAUCUCCUCCCCAGAACCCUGACCACCUCCUCCGGGGUCCAGGAGAUGUGGUGUGACAGGGUUCCUUCCUCAGCUGUGGCAGAGACCCUUGAUCAACCAAACCACUUGCUGUUCUGUGCUCUGGUUUCCUUCUUUGCCUGGAGGAAUGCUGGCCACUGUCCGGUCCCCCCACAUGGUCAGGGUCAGGCGACAAAAAGGAAAUCUAAGACAGAGCUGAGCUUUCCCUCCAGAGAGCUUUAAUCUCGAGGUGGAAGUGGGAUCCAGGCAAGAGGAGAACGAAGGAAACACAGAAGACGUACAAGCAGGUGAAAGGAGUGCCUAUGGGAGGAGCAGGAGGGGCCGGUGAGUCGGCUCACAGAGAGGACAGCCCUGCGGGGUAGUCUGGAAAAGUGCCAGGGACUGGUGUCCUGGAGCUGGGAAGGUGCCCUGGUUUGGAGGACGGGGGAGACAGUCUGUCCAGAUGGGCAGGCAGAGGUGAAUCGAAUCAGGCGUCAGGUGAGGUGGUGGGCAGGUCGGUGGGAGCGAAGAAGCGGGGGUGAGUGGGUGUUCUGGCAGGGUGUGGCACAGGAGGGUGUGACCCAGCAGGGCCUCUCCAUGCACUCAGCUGCUUCCCCCAGACCCAGAGGUCGUGACUCCCAGAUGAACCCAUAGGCCAGACUCUGGGCUUUGCAUGGUGGGUAGGAGGGUGGGGAUUAGAGCUGGGGGAGGGGAGUUCACUUGGAGGCUGAGGGUGGAAGUCUGGUGUAUUUCAGGCCCAAGAUCAUGCCAGCUCCAAAUUUGGGAAGGUGAGAUGUGGCCUUUGUGACACCUGUCAGGGAGACUGGGCCAGCCCUUGUCAGAGGGCAGCAGUGCAGGCCCAGUGGGCUCAGUGUUCUCUGCCACGUGGGAUGUGGUCAUGCCUCAGCUUCCCCCUCCACUCUCUCCAUCAGCUCUUAGUACCCGCAGAGCUACCCGGAUGACUCCACACAUCCAUGGAAUUGACUCACUUUUGUACCCACAGCACCGAAAGUGGGGCCUCAAGCACACUUAACACCAAGCGGCAUCUGAGUGAACGCACAGGGUAUUCGUGAAUCGUGCCAAGCGUGCCGGGGAAGUGGCCCCAGGAAGAAAGGCAGGAGGCCUGAACCUAUAAACCAGAGUCACGUAGCUCCAUGUCCCCUUCCAAGGCCCCUGCUGUGAUCCUGGGGGUCCUGUAUCUGAUGGAAGGGCUCCUCUCAGAAGCAUGUGGGGUUGGCGGGAAUCACGUCCCAAUUUGUCUGGCGGAACUCGCUGGUGGGAGAGCAGUGAGCUGGGUCACUCAGCGAUGGACCAGCUAAUCCAACUCCUUGUCUUGAAGAUGGAGAAACUGAGGCCCAAGGAUAUGAAGUGGCUUGUCCAAGGUCACACCACGAGAGUUUGGACGUCAAAACCUCCCAUUUGCUGACCCCCUGAAUGUCGUCCUGGGGUCGCAGGACAACGAGGAAGCCUCAAGAGGGUUUUGGUCCCUGGCUCUGAGCAAUGCCACCCACCUCCACCUCAACCCCCAACACAGUCCUACAGACUCAACAAGAAUACUUUUAUGCUCCCUGGGAGUUGUCUUGCAUCACAGUGAAUUAAGGAUCUGGCGUUGUCACUGCUGCUGUUAGGUCACUGUUGUGGUGCAGGUUUGAUCCCUGGCCUGGGAACUAAACAUGCCACAGGUGUGGACCCCCCCAAAAAAUAAAUUAAAAAACCCCCAAAUAAAACAAAGCAAAAAAGAAUAAUCUUAUGCGCCCUUCUCAUCUUAAACUUGUCAUUCACAAUUAAGUCCCAGAGAGAGAAGCGACUCCACAGGGCUGGGUCAGGUUAACCCUCCUGUGUGCCCUUCUACCUGGGCUCCUGCAUCCUGACCUUUCCCCUCCAACAUCUGGACACGGUCCCCUGCCCCACCCCCCCUCCAUCUAGGGGACACAGAACCAGGGCUGGCUGUGUCACACAUAUCCUAAGACUCCCCACCACCUUCCAUGGAAAGAAAACUAGAUCAAAGUGAGCCCCAGGGCACAUGUUCACCGGCAGGGCUCCUCAUCCUGGCCUCCUGAGGGCUAUACACUGCGGGUGCGUCUAAGCCCGCCAGGCCUUUGGGGUUCCAGUGCUGUGCGCAGCUGCCUCUGUUUUCACCGUCACCUUGGAUUCUACCACGCCACACAUCUCUAGGCCUCUGAUGGCCUCCUGCCUUCUCGCUCUGGUCCAUCCUGCCCACCACUCCAGAGCAGUCAUUUCUGAAGAGUGGCUUUUGUGUGUUACUUCCGCUGUGGCCAAUCUCUAACAGCUCUCCACGGCACCCGCCAAAGUCAUGCCUCUGCCGGGCUCUCGAGACCCUCCACAACCUUCUCCCACUUUCUCCUUUCAUUGCCAUCACCGGGGGCCUCCUUCUCACUUUUUUUU
This is a non-coding RNA of Sus scrofa (pig), 2827 nucleotides long. NCBI's taxonomy places the organism in Eukaryota, Metazoa, Chordata, Mammalia, Artiodactyla, Suidae. The record is from RefSeq and is a predicted model, not a curated record.